UACUAAAAUGUAUGUUGACAUAAAAAGCAGCAUUGCUUUAACAGUCAGCUGCAGUAAAAAAAUCCCACAGGUUUCUUUCUUUUUACAAGUCAAAAGUUUGGGACAUAACUUAUCCAGACCUGCCCUCCCAAAGGAAAAUCCCUGCCCUGCUGACAGCAUCCUUGCGCAGUUAAAACCCAGGGACAGUUUUGCAGAUAAAAGCCCUCUUCAGAGUAUUUAGUCUGGUGGCCUUUACCCAGGAAAGUCUCCUGGAAUUAGCCUGGCAUUUGAGAAGGCAGAUGCAGUGAGACAGACUGGCUGUGGCACACCCAGGGACUCCGAACCAGCGCAGCACCCGGCACAUCCCAGGUCGGGGAUGAGCACGGCACAUCUGCCAUCUGCUGGCACCUGAGCUGCCCCCAGAGCCCCUGAAAGACAGAGCUGAGGGGCAGCAGAGAACGAGUCUGUAGUAUGGAAGCUGCUGGACAAACUUCUCAGCUGAAAAUAAAGGAGGA
This 494-nucleotide long non-coding RNA is filed under the name Serinus canaria (Common canary). RNAcentral's name for it is "lncRNA (ENSSCAG00000006942.1)". Lineage: Eukaryota; Metazoa; Chordata; Aves; Passeriformes; Fringillidae. The record is from RNAcentral.